GUGGGGAUUUCAUGAGCCGCUCUCCAUCGGUACUUUCCAAGGGGAUGCCUUUGAACAGGAUCACCAUGACUAGAUCCAGACGCCAGACUUUGUCUGCCUGUCGCAGGCAGUCGAUUCUCCUAAUCUUACCCUUCUGGUCGGGAUUGGAUAAGACACAGCACGGGUGCUUCUUGCCAGUCACGGUGAGCACAAAGUCCUCUCGAUACUCCUGGCGAAUAUCUUUGCGCAGUUUGGCAAGGAGCCUGGAUGCCCACUUCUGUUAAAAAAAAAAAAAAAAUCUUAAAAAAGAGAAAUAAAUUUGAACAAAACUAAACUACAAGCCCGCAGUUCCCCGCCGAAAGCGAGGUGGGGGAGGAGGGGGCGGGAACGGUCGAGGCACUGAGAGUGGGGGAUGAGAAACGAACUCCGUCCCCUGCACAGUCAGUGCCUUCGGGGGCUCCACCACCGCGCGCUCCCACCCUCAAGGUUUGGACUCCUAGGGGAGGGAGAGGACGGGAGGGAGAGGAGGAUAGGUGGAGGGGGAAGAGGGACUCCUUUUCUCCUCCUGCCAGCGCCAGCUGGGGCAAACUUGAGCUGGCAAAGCGCGAGAAAACUUUUCUUUGGAAAGUUUAGGUAGCGCAGUUAGUGGCGGAGGCUCAGGGCAAGCUAACAGUGCUGGGGCGGGUGUGGAGGGAGUGAGCUGGGUGCGAUUGGGAGAGGGGAGAAGGGAGAAGGGAAGGAGUGGCCAGCUCCCUAGGCGGUUGAAGAUCCAAGUCUCUUCGGUCAGGUCCGCCCAAGGUCCCAGAGGCACUGGGGGGUCGGGUGACUGUGCGGAGUGUAAAAGACAUUUCCUUAGGAAACAGACAAGGCAGGGCCAGGAGUUCCGCGGUUUUUUUUCCGUGCAGAAAUCACUACCCGGCGACGGCUCAGGGCGGUAGAGGGCAAGUCUUAUCUGCCAAGGCGGGAUUAGAUUCUCUCGCCGAGG
This 964-nucleotide long non-coding RNA is filed under the name Homo sapiens (human). RNAcentral's name for it is "HSALNT0146872". Lineage: Eukaryota; Metazoa; Chordata; Mammalia; Primates; Hominidae. The record is from RNAcentral.